GUGCCAGCAGCCGCGGUAAUACGGAGGGUGCAAGCGUUAAUCGGAAUUACUGGGCGUAAAGCGCACGCACGCGGUUUGUUAAGUCAGAUGUGAAAUCCCCGGGCUCAACCUGGGAACUGCAUCUGAUACUGGCAAGCUUGAGUCUCGUAGAGGGGGGUAGAAUUCCAGGUGUAGCGCUGAAAUGCGUAGAGAUCUGGAGGAAUACCGGCGGCGAAGGCAGCCCCCUGUACGAAGACUGACGCUCAGGUGCGACAGCGUGGGGAGCAAACAGGAUUAGAUACCAUGGUAGUCC
This 292-nucleotide ribosomal RNA is filed under the name uncultured microorganism. Its description in RNAcentral is "partial 16S ribosomal RNA". It matches the Rfam family "Bacterial small subunit ribosomal RNA", at positions 505 to 796 of the family's 1533-position model. The record is from RNAcentral.